AUUGAACGCUGGCGGCAGGCCUAACACAUGCAAGUCGAGCGGAUGAAGGGAGCUUGCUCCUGGAUUCAGCGGCGGACGGGUGAGUAAUGCCUAGGAAUCUGCCUGGUAGUGGGGGAUAACGUCCGGAAACGGGCGCUAAUACCGCAUACGUCCUGAGGGAGAAAGUGGGGGAUCUUCGGACCUCACGCUAUCAGAUGAGCCUAGGUCGGAUUAGCUAGUUGGUGGGGUAAAGGCCUACCAAGGCGACGAUCCGUAACUGGUCUGAGAGGAUGACCAGUCACACUGGAACUGAGACACGGUCCAGACUCCUACGGGAGGCAGCAGUGGGGAAUAUUGGACAAUGGGCGAAAGCCUGAUCCAGCCAUGCCGCGUGUGUGAAGAAGGUCUUCGGAUUGUAAAGCACUUAAAGUUGGGAGGAAGGGCAGUAAGUUAAUACCUUGCUGUUUUGACGUUACCAACAGAAUAAGCACCGGCUAACUUCGUG
This 484-nucleotide ribosomal RNA is filed under the name uncultured bacterium. RNAcentral's name for it is "partial 16S ribosomal RNA". It matches the Rfam family "Bacterial small subunit ribosomal RNA", at positions 30 to 507 of the family's 1533-position model. The record is from RNAcentral.